This 465-nucleotide ribosomal RNA is filed under the name Vreelandella stevensii. RNAcentral describes it as "partial 16S ribosomal RNA". It matches the Rfam family "Bacterial small subunit ribosomal RNA", at positions 338 to 795 of the family's 1533-position model. The record is from RNAcentral. Lineage: Bacteria; Pseudomonadati; Pseudomonadota; Gammaproteobacteria; Oceanospirillales; Halomonadaceae.
CCUACGGGGGGCAGCAGUGGGGAAUAUUGGACAAUGGGGGGAACCCUGAUCCAGCCAUGCCGCGUGUGUGAAGAAGGCCCUCGGGUUGUAAAGCACUUUCAGUGAGGAAGAACGCCUGGUGGUUAAUACCCAUCAGGAAAGACAUCACUCACAGAAGAAGCACCGGCUAACUCCGUGCCAGCAGCCGCGGUAAUACGGAGGGUGCGAGCGUUAAUCGGAAUUACUGGGCGUAAAGCGCGCGUAGGUGGCUUGAUAAGCCGGUUGUGAAAGCCCCGGGCUCAACCUGGGAACGGCAUCCGGAACUGUCAAGCUAGAGUGCAGGAGAGGAAGGUAGAAUUCCCGGUGUAGCGGUGAAAUGCGUAGAGAUCUGGAGGAAUACCAGUGGCGAAGGCGGCCUUCUGGACUGACACUGACACUGAGGUGCGAAAGCGUGGGUAGCAAACAGGAUUAGAUACCCUAGUAGUC